GAAGAUGUUUUGUCUAUCCUUGAGUGUUGAAUGUUAUAAAUAUAAGGACUUGUGAAUGUAUGUUAGCCAUGUGUACCUGUCAUCUUGCAAACUGACUUCCCAAGAACACAGUCUCCUGUGGACCAUCUAUUCCAGUUCUCUCAUCCAAUGGUGGCCUUCUCAAAUAAAAAUGGAAACAAAGACAUUUGCUCUGUUCCAAAACCUAGUGAUCUGCAACAUUUAUAAGCUCACCCCCAAUACGAAUCCCAAUGCUGUUCCAAAUAGAAUGCAGGACUGCAUGUAUCAUUCAGGUAAUCCUAGAACGAACUGACUAAAAUUUCCAUUUCAAAUAGGAAAUGUCAAUUGCAAAGUAUAGCUUAUAAAUACAAAGUAUAUUAAUUCAGUACUGACACAUAUCAUUGAAAAACACGGCCACGUCAUAUGACCUGUGAGCUUAGCAACAUGCUAACAUUAUACUUUAUAAGAAUCAACUGUGUUAGUAGUCUCUCAUGUGCAUCAUGGGCCUCUUUAAUCAAAUAGUAGCACAAUACAUUUGUAAAUCAUUUGUAACAUAUCUAACAGACCUUUUCUGUCUGCAAAAUUUUGUUAAUGUGACGGCUCCUUUACAAUAUGUCUUUCCUUUUGGGAAGACAAUAGCAGACAAUAGAGUUAAACAGUUGUAUUAAUAUUUUCUCUUUAAUCCAAGUCACCUACGUUUAUAUAGAGCUUUAUACAAUACUAAACAGGAAAGAAACAGAAUCAGUGACGCAAACUUCAUCAAAUAUGAGGCAAUCCGAAUUCUGCUGUAAAGCAGCUCUAACAAAACAUUUCCAAAAUAGUUGCAGUCAUUUGGAAAUGCCAACUGAGCUCAUAUUGGUUUUCUUUCAUAACUUGGAGCCAGUGAUGUAAUUGGAUGUGGCAUCCACCUUAAUUAUGUAUCAGGGUAUCAAAACUUUGCAUUUAUCAUUAACAUUUCUUCUAAAACUUCUUGUUGGAAAAUAUAAUUCAUAAUACAGAAUUAUGUUUUAAAUGAUGUGCACUAGACCGACAGGUCAAUAAAUCACAAUGCUAGAUUAUUUUCCCAAUUGUGGUGGAUUGUUUUCCUUUAAGACUGUAAAAUAUUAAACCUGCAGCCUGAGAAUGUGUAAAUAUGGAUCUUCUCCACUGUGGAUAUAAAGCCUUUUGUCUUAUAGCCGGUACGCAAACAAAUACCUUUACAUUAAUACAGCUGGAGUGUUUUACCUUCAGGAGUAAAUAUUUAUCCAGUUAAAAAUAGUUGAACUCUACGCUCAAAUAUGUAAAAUAAUAAAGAUGUCUGACAUUUGCAAAUAAGGAUGAAUAUGGAGUCUUUAUUUUGUGUCAUUUGAAAUAGUAUUUGCA
RNAcentral lists this long non-coding RNA (1359 nucleotides) under Sinocyclocheilus anshuiensis. RNAcentral's name for it is "lncRNA (ENSSANG00000050761.1)". The record is from RNAcentral. Lineage: Eukaryota; Metazoa; Chordata; Actinopteri; Cypriniformes; Cyprinidae.